UGAGUUUGAUCAUGGCUCAGAUUGAACGCUGGCGGCAUGCUUUACACAUGCAAGUCGGGCGGCAGCACAGAGAAGCUUGCUUCUUGGGUGGCGAGUGGCGAACGGGUGAGUAACAUAUCGGAACGUACCGAGUAAUGGGGGAUAACUAAUCGAAAGAUUAGCUAAUACCGCAUAUUCUCUGAGGAGGAAAGCAGGGGACCUUCGGGCCUUGCGUUAUUCGAGCGGCCGAUAUCUGAUUAGCUAGUUGGUGGGGUAAAGGCCUACCAAGGCGACGAUCAGUAGCGGGUCUGAGAGGAUGAUCCGCCACACUGGGACUGAGACACGGCCCAGACUCCUACGGGAGGCAGCAGUGGGGAAUUUUGGACAAUGGGCGCAAGCCUGAUCCAGCCAUGCCGCGUGUCUGAUGAAGGCCUUCGGGUUGUAAAGGACUUUUGUCAGGGAAGAAAAGGCUGUUGCUAAUAUCGACAGCUGAUGACGGUACCUGAAGAAUAAGCACCGGCUAACUACGUGCCAGCAGCCGCGGUAAUACGUAGGGUGCGAGCGUUAAUCGGAAUUACUGGGCGUAAAGCGAGCGCAGACGGUUACUUAAGCAGGAUGUGAAAUCCCCGGGCUCAACCUGGGAACUGCGUUNUGAACUGGGUGANUAGAGUGUGUCANAGGGAGGUAGAAUUCCACGUGUAGCAGUGAAAUGCGUAGAGACGUGGAGGAAUACCGAUGGCGGAGGCAGCCUCCUGGGAUAACACUGACGUUCAUGCUCGAAAGCGUGGGUAGCAAACAGGAUUAGAUACCCUGGUAGUCCACGCCCUAAACGAUGUCAAUUAGCUGUUGGGCAACUUGAUUGCUUAGUAGCGUAGCUAACGCGUGAAAUUGACCGCCUGGGGAGUACGGUCGCAAGAUUAAAACUCAAAGGAAUUGACGGGGACCCGCACAAGCGGUGGAUGAUGUGGAUUAAUUCGAUGCAACGCGAAGAACCUUACCUGGUCUUGACAUGUACGGAAUCCUCCAGAGACGGAGGAGUGCCUUCGGGAGCCGUAACACAGGUGCUGCAUGGCUGUCGUCAGCUCGUGUCGUGAGAUGUUGGGUUAAGUCCCGCAACGAGCGCAACCCUUGUCAUUAGUUGCCAUCAUUUAGUUGGGCACUCUAAUGAGACUGCCGGUGACAAGCCGGAGGAAGGUGGGGAUGAUGUCAAGUCCUCAUGGCCCUUAUGACCAGGGCUUCACACGUCAUACAAUGGUCGGCACAGAGGGUAGCCAAGCCGCGAGGUGGAGCCAAUCUCACAAAACCGAUCGUAGUCCGGAUUGCACUCUGCAACUCGAGUGCAUGAAGUCGGAAUCGCUAGUAAUCGCAGGUCAGCAUACUGCGGUGAAUACGUUCCCGGGUCUUGUACACACCGCCCGUCACACCAUGGGAGUGGGGGAUACCAGAAGUAGGUAGGGUAACCGCAAGGAGCCCGCUUACCACGGUAUGCUUCAUGACUGGGGUGAAGUCGUAACAAGGA
This 1498-nucleotide ribosomal RNA is filed under the name uncultured Neisseria sp. RNAcentral describes it as "bacterial SSU rRNA". It matches the Rfam family "Bacterial small subunit ribosomal RNA". The record is from RNAcentral. Lineage: Bacteria; Pseudomonadati; Pseudomonadota; Betaproteobacteria; Neisseriales; Neisseriaceae.